CAUGAUCCUUUUAGCCAAUCAGAAUUGCGUAGAUAAUUCGUCACGACGUCACCAAACACGCCCACUGAAGACGCUCUCAAUCGGCCAUUUUGGGAGGGCAAUUGUGUUUUUGUGGGAGGUGUUAGUAAUAGUCUUCUUCUUAUUAUUAUUAUUUUUGCCUUUUAUAUGGGGAAUUUUGAAAGCCACCGUAGACCCAAGCGUCAGUAUAUUAAUGUCUACACAGCUGUCGCCUAAUACAUGACAUGUACACUCUCUGGAAUGACAGUCUCAGUGAGUCUCUCGGUUACAGUUCAACAAUGAAUGAGGAAAAUGGCACAAGAUUCAGCGGGGAAAGACAUCACACAGACAGAAUGAGAACCACUCGACACACGAAGAUGUGCAGGAAUAGGUUAAAACGGGACCUUGCAUUGGUAAAUAAUACAAAUACAUUUUGUUACAAAUUAGAAAAAACGGUGAACGUUACCACUCUGAUGUGUAAAAAUACCUUUCAAUGUGUACAUUUAGGUGUCAGUUUUAGCUAUGGUCUGCCAACCCCCAAGAAAUAAUUUCAGUUGGAUUCUCAUAAUAUGAUAAAGGAUUUAGCUAAAGUAAGGGGGUGAUUUCAAUGAACAAAGUGACCCCAUAAUGUGAGUAACGAGUAUAUUUCGAGGACCAAUAGAGAUAGAUAGAUAGAUAGAUAGAUAGAUAGAACUUUAUUGUAAUUGCAUAGUACAAGUACACAGCAACAACAUGCAGUUUAGCAUCUACCGGAAGUGCAAAUAGUAGAAUUGUUCAAAUGAACAAGUGCAGUUAAUAAAAUUUAUGUACAACAAGUACA
RNAcentral lists this long non-coding RNA (817 nucleotides) under Scleropages formosus (Asian bonytongue). RNAcentral's name for it is "lncRNA (ENSSFOG00015024653.1)". Lineage: Eukaryota; Metazoa; Chordata; Actinopteri; Osteoglossiformes; Osteoglossidae. The record is from RNAcentral.